AUCAGAGAUCUUUGACAGAUAAUGAUUUGGCACAAGAUGUGGACUGUGUCUAGAGAAAUCCCUUUGGCACUUACUGCCAAAUGCUGAAGGAGGAACUGUCUUCUUCCCAUGACACCCGUUGGAGCAGGACAUACUCAGAACUUCAGAGAAGCAACCUGGUAUCUCAAAAGAAAAAAUAUUUACCAGGAGGAAGAAAAGCUAUGUUUUCCUGUCACCAUCCUGAGGUCUUUUUGAAGGCACUUUUGCUUCCUGCAUCAGCCUGGGAGUCACAGUGUUUGCUCUGUUCUUCUCACAUCUCUUCCCAGUGAUACAAUCCCUCUGCAGCCUCUCCCAGGGAGCUGCCCACAGCUCUGACCACCCAGCGCCAGCAUCCUCAGCAGAUGUGAUGCAAUAAAUGCUGUAAACACUCC
This 410-nucleotide long non-coding RNA is filed under the name Cyanistes caeruleus (blue tit). Its description in RNAcentral is "lncRNA (ENSCCEG00000008977.1)". Lineage: Eukaryota; Metazoa; Chordata; Aves; Passeriformes; Paridae. The record is from RNAcentral.